This 1526-nucleotide ribosomal RNA is filed under the name gut metagenome. RNAcentral's name for it is "bacterial LSU rRNA". It matches the Rfam family "Bacterial large subunit ribosomal RNA", at positions 456 to 1988 of the family's 2925-position model. The record is from RNAcentral.
UCCCGUAAGGCUAAAUACUCCCGAGAGACCGAUAGCGAACCAGUACCGUGAGGGAAAGGUGAAAAGAACCCCGAGCAGGGGAGUGAAAUAGACCCUGAACCCGUCUGCCUACAAGCGGUCGGAGCGUCGUAAUGACGUGACGGCGUGCCUUUUGCAUAAUGAACCUACGAGUUACCUUCCCCGGCAAGGUUAAGUUCUUGAGGAACGGAGCCGAAGCGAAAGCGAGUCUGAACAGGGCGCCAAGUCGGGGGGGGUAGACGCGAAACCGAGUGAUCUACCCUUGGCCAGGUUGAAGGUUGGGUAACACCAACUGGAGGACCGGAUGGGUAAGCGUUGAAAAGCUUUCCAAUGAGCUGAGGGUAGGGGUGAAAGGCUAAUCAAACUCGGAGAUAGCUCGUACUCCCCGAAAUGCAUUUAGGUGCAGCCUCUUUAUAGUAUAUCGUGAGGUAGAGCGACUGAUUGGAUGCGAGGGCUUCACCGCCUAUCAAGUCCAGAUAAACUCCGAAUGCGCGAUAUAUAUUUACAGGGAGUGAGGGCGCGGGUGCUAAGGUCCGUGUCCGAGAGGAGAAGAAUCCAGACCACCGGCUAAGGCCCCCAAAUGAUCGUUAAGUUGAACUAACGAGGUCGGAUCGCAGAGACAGCUAGGAUGUUGGCUUGGAAGCAGCCAUUCAUUUAAAGAGUGCGUAACAGCUCACUAGUCGAGCGAUCUGGCGUGGAUAAUAAUCGGGCAUAAACGAUCUGCCGAAGCCGUGGAUGUCGCAAGACAUGGUAGGGGAGCAUUCCAUGCGGCGUCGAAGAUGAGGGAUGACCCUUGUUGGAGCGCAUGGAAAAGCAAAUGUAGGUAUGAGUAACGAUAAGGGGGGCGAGAAACCCCCCCGCCGAAAGACCAAGGUUUCCUGAUCAACGCUAAUCGGAUCAGGGUGAGUCGGGACCUAAGGCAAAGCCGAACGGCGCCGCCGAUGGAAGAAUGGGUUAAUAUUCCCAUACUGCCUCAUGGAGUGACGUGGAGACGGAGAAGUGACAGUCCUGCCGGCUGACGGAAUAGCCGGUUGAAGGGUGUAGGUGUCGAUCGCGGUAGGCAAAUCCGCCGCGAGAGCCGAACCUGACAGUAUACGGAGCGCUUGCGCAACGUAAUAUGGACGUAACCAUGCUCCCAAGAAAAUCCGCUAAACUUAUCCAUGCGGCACCCGUACCGUAAACGGACACACGUGGUCGGGUUGAGAAUACUGAGGCGCUCGAGUGAUUCACGGUUAAGGAACUAGGCAAAUUGACCCUGUAACUUCGGGAUAAAGGGUCCUCGUCGUAAGGCGAGGCGCAGAGAAUAGGUCCAGGCAACUGUUUAACAAAAACACAUGGCUGUGCUAAAUGGAAACAUGAUGUAUACAGCCUGACACCUGCCCGGUGCCGGAAGGUUAAGAGGAGAUGUCAUCCGCGAGGAGAAGCGUUGAAUUGAAGCCCCGGUAAACGGCGGCCGUAACUAUAACGGUCCUAAGGUAGCGAAAUUCCUUGUCGGGUAAGUUCCGACC